GGCUACCACAUCCAAGGAAGGCAGCAGGCGCGCAAAUUACCCAAUCCCGACACGGGGAGGUAGUGACAAUAAAUAACAAUAUAGGGCUCUUUCGGGUCCUAUAAUUGGAAUGAGUACAAUUUAAAUCCCUUAACGAGGAUCAAUUGGAGGGCAAGUCUGGUGCCAGCAGCCGCGGUAAUUCCAGCUCCAAUAGCGUAUAUUAAAGUUGUUGCAGUUAAAAAGCUCGUAGUUGAACCUUCAGGCCUGGCCGGGCGGUCUGCCUAACGGUAUGUACUGUCUGGCCGGGUCUUACCUCUUGGUGAACCGGCGUGCUCUUUACUGGGCGCGUCGGCGAACCAGGACUUUUACCUUGAGAAAAUUAGAGUGUUCAAAGCAGGCUUACGCCCGAAUACAUUAGCAUGGAAUAAUAAAAUAGGACGUGCGGUCCUAUUUUGUUGGUUUCUAGGAUCGCCGUAAUGAUUAAUAGGGAUAGUUGGGGGCAUUGGU
This 486-nucleotide ribosomal RNA is filed under the name Schizophyllum commune. RNAcentral's name for it is "SSU rRNA". It matches the Rfam family "Eukaryotic small subunit ribosomal RNA", at positions 405 to 895 of the family's 1831-position model. The record is from RNAcentral. Lineage: Eukaryota; Fungi; Basidiomycota; Agaricomycetes; Agaricales; Schizophyllaceae.